GGCGAACGCUGGCGGCGUGCUUAACACAUGCAGGUCGAACGGAAAGGCCCUGCUUUUGUGGGGUGCUCGAGUGGCGAACGGGUGAGUAACACGUGAGUAACCUGCCCUUGACUUUGGGAUAACUUCAGGAAACUGGGGCUAAUACCGGAUAGGAGCUCCUGCUGCAUGGUGGGGGUUGGAAAGUUUCGGCGGUUGGGGAUGGACUCGCGGCUUAUCAGCUUGUUGGUGGGGUAGUGGCUUACCAAGGCUUUGACGGGUAGCCGGCCUGAGAGGGUGACCGGCCACAUUGGGACUGAGAUACGGCCCAGACUCCUACGGGAGGCAGCAGUGGGGAAUAUUGCACAAUGGGCGGAAGCCUGAUGCAGCAACGCCGCGUGCGGGAUGACGGCCUUCGGGUUGUAAACCGCUUUCGCCUGUGACGAAGCGUGAGUGACGGUAAUGGGUAAAGAAGCACCGGCUAACUACGUG
RNAcentral lists this ribosomal RNA (468 nucleotides) under uncultured bacterium. RNAcentral's name for it is "partial 16S ribosomal RNA". It matches the Rfam family "Bacterial small subunit ribosomal RNA", at positions 28 to 507 of the family's 1533-position model. The record is from RNAcentral.